Molecule: ribosomal RNA, 253 nt
Filed under: uncultured bacterium
Lineage: Bacteria
Description: partial 16S ribosomal RNA
Rfam family: Bacterial small subunit ribosomal RNA
Source: RNAcentral
UACGAAGGGUGCAAGCGUUACUCGGAAUUACUGGGCGUAAAGGGUGCGUAGGCGGUUCGUUAAGUCUGUUGUGAAAUCCCCGGGCUCAACCUGGGAAUGGCGAUGGAUACUGGCGAGCUAGAGUGUGUCAGGGGAUGGUGGAAUUCCCGGUGUAGCGGUGAAAUGCGUAGAGAUCCGGAAGAACACCAGUGGCGAAGGCGGCCCGCUGGGCAGUGGCUGACGCUGAGGCGCGACAGCGUGGGGAGCAAACAGG